Molecule: long non-coding RNA, 2914 nt
Filed under: Brassica napus (rape)
Lineage: Eukaryota; Viridiplantae; Streptophyta; Magnoliopsida; Brassicales; Brassicaceae
Description: long non-coding RNA (BNAP_LNC022700)
Source: RNAcentral
GUGCUGCUCUCACUGAUGAUGACACUUGUAUGGAUGGUUUCGGCCAAGAUGGUCGAGCCAAAGCGGUCGUGAAAGAUUUGGUUCGGCGACAUGUUGUAAAGGUUGCUCGGAUGACUAGCAACGCGCUUGCUGUCAUUAAUAUGUACGCCUCCACACAUGAAAAAUGAUCAUAAAUGUUCAUAUAUCUUUUUUUUUAUAAAUGUUCAUAUAUCAUAUACAAAAUUGUUUGAUAACCUCUAUUGGCAAAAUUGCUUAUGCAUGUUUAUAUGUAUACUAUGUACCUUGUUAUAGGUAUUGUGCAUUUUCAUGUAUACAUAUUUCAAUAAUUUUAUAAUGAAGUUUUGUAUAUUUUGCUUUAGUUUAGUUUAGGAAUGGUAUAUAAUAAAUAAUAUCUUUUUAGAAUAAUAAUAAUAAUAAUAUUAGAUUUUAAUUAGCAUACAUGAGCAGAUAUUUUCAUUUUUAUAGACUAAAUUUAAGGUUAAACAUGUUUUUUAAUUAACUAUUAGAUUUUGAUCUGCGCUUUUAAAGUGCGAGACUAUUUUUUGUUGACAAAUUUAUUAACCCGUUUGUUUGUUCGUUAUAAGUUUAAGCAUGGGUGUUCGGUUUUUGGUUAUGUUCCAAAUUUUUCUUUUUAGUUUUGGUUCGGUUUUGGUUUGGUUGUGGUUUUUGUUUUUUCGGUUCUUAUAGGUUUUUUUUAUGAAUUUGGAUUUAGUUUCGGUUUGGUUAUUAUGGUUUUCGGUUUUGUUCGAAUAACAAUGUUAAAAAUCUGAUAAAAUUUUGAGUUCAAUUAGGUUAAGGCUCGGUUCCCAUUUUUCGGAUAGUUUUGAAUAAUUCAGAUAAAAAUUUUAUUUUUAAAAUUUUUGAUAAAAUAUAGGAUAAAUUUAAAUAGUUUGGAUAAAAAUAUUUUGGUGAUUCAGUUCUAUAGGAGAGUUAGGAUCAUUUAAAAUAUUUUGGAUAAAAAGUAAUAGGAUAAUCCAAAUUUAUGGGUAGUUUAGUUUAUAAACUUUUAGAAUAUUUGAUCAUUUAAAACUAAAUAUAAUUGUUAUUUUAGAUAUAUAAAUUGUAUUUUGGAUAGUUCGGUUCUCAAUUUUCUUUCAAUUUGGUUUCAGUUUUUCUUUUACAAAAUUUAGGAAUUGUUAUUGAAUCGGUGUGGUUUUGUUUUUUUGUUUGUUUCAUAGCAAAUAUUUGUGAAAACAAAACCAAAACCGUAUGGAUAUUAAUUUUUUUUAUUAUAAAUGGGCUAUUCAAUGGGUUUUGAAUUGAUUCACUAUCUAUAAUAAAGUUAUAAAUACUAUGGAAGUUGAUAUAUAAUGUGGAUCUAAUAUCUUUUUAUAAUUGCUAAUUUUCUAUAUAUCGUGGAUCCAAUUUCAAUUUUAAAAAUGUUGGUUCAUAUAAAUUAAUAGAUAUUUUAAUCUAAUUUUCUAUACUUUAUAAAUCGUAAUCAAUACCAAAAAUAGUAGACUUAUUAAUAUUUAGUAUUGCACAAGUUAUUCAGAGGAAUAUCUUCUUACAAAUUAUGGAAGUUGAUAUAUGCAAAAUAUCUCAUUAAAUAUUUUCAAAAUUAUGGAAUUUCUAUAUAUCAAAUUUAAGGAAGUAAUUUAUUCCAGUAUAUUUAUAUUUUUCAAUUUUGGAAGCACGUAAUAUUUUCAAAAUGAAAGUGCAAUAUACACAUCUUUUAUAAAUUAAAUAUUAAAAUUUUGUAUGAUGAAAAAAAUUCAAAUAUAUAUUUGUCUUACAAUUUAGUUAGGAUUAUUAUCAAAAUAUAUUGAAAUUAAGGAAGUUAUAUAUUUAAAUAUACUUGGAUUUUUUUUAAAAGCACAAAUCUUUUCAAAAUGUAAUCACAAGUUACUCUUAUAAGUAGCCUCACACAAUAUUCAAAUCUUUUAUGAAUUAUAGAGUAAAAUUGUGAUAACUCAAAUGAGUCAAAUACUUAAAUUUAUUACAAUUUAUUUAGGAUGAUUAUACAAAAAUACUGUUAGCAUAAAAGAAUAUCUCGUAAACAAAGAACAAAAUCAAUUUUGUUAAAGAUAUCAGUUGAAAAACAAAAUACUGUUAUUCAACAAUAUUUUAAUUAUAAACCCAUCUAAAAUAGUUGUUAAAGAUAUUAUAUAGCAUUUUAACGCAAACCCUGAAUUAAGUUAAUGAAAAUCUAGUAAUAUGAUCAACGAUGGCCGUGGCAAUGAUGCUUCCAAAGUUAAUAACAUACCUUUUGAAACAGAAAUGUAACGACUAACACCACAUGGCAAUGAUGCUUCCAAAGUGAAUAAAUUGCCUUUGAUGUCUGAUCAACGAAUGCCGUGCAGGACGAAGGAAAUGACACACAUAACAAAACCCCAAGCAAACGGCAAGAACUUACUUUUUCACAAUUAGGUAAUGCCACAAUGAUGGCUAAUCCCAUUUAACAGCUAGAAGAAAUGUUCUUCCGACCCAGAUGCAGCAACGUCCUAGACCACAAAUUUUCAGAAUACCAAUUUCACAAUCUAAUUAAAUAUUUUCUUAAAAAAAAUAUAACUAAACAUCAAACAUCAAAGCCCUUUUCCAAAAAAAAAAAAAAAUCAGCAUUUUUUUGUCUCAGGGAAGAAUUUGCGUGGUUUUAACCAUAAGCUGAUAAACAAAAGAGCUAACUUUAGAGUUGAAGUAUUUUUUUUUAAAAGGAAAAACAGUUGAAGUAAUUGAAAUUCCCUUAAUCAACUCGCUGAAAGAAACGUUAAAACUAUAGACGGACUCAAGAACAACACAUGCUCAGCAUAUGAAAAGAUGCCAUCAAAUACUUUUACAAUUCAGCCACAGAUUUCACAAAUACCUUGCGGACAAUUAAAGAAGAAUCUCUAGAGGACUAAACAGUGCAGCAGAAACGAUAGCUAAAAAAAGAGUCUAUGCCGUCGUGAUUGGUGCCGGAGUCGUUGGUUUAGCG